CAAUAGCGUAUAUUAAAGUUGUUGCAGUUAAAAAGCUCGUAGUUGGAUUUCUGGUGGGAGCGAUCGGUCUGGCGCUUAGCGCGAGUACUUGCAUCGUCCCCGGCCAUCCUUGGGGAGAGUCUGUCUGGCAUUAAGUUGUCGGGCAGAGGAUCCUCAUCGUUUACUGUGAAAAAAUUAGAGUGUUCAAAGCAGGCUUAUGCCGUUGAAUAUAUUAGCAUGGAAUAAUAAGAUAGGACUUUGGUACUAUUUUGUUGGUUUGCGCACCAAAGUAAUGAUUAAUAGGGACAGUUGGGGGUAUUCGUAUUCCGUUGUCAGAGGUGAAAUUCUUGGAUUUACGGAAGACGAACUACUGCGAAAGCAUUUACCAAGGAUGUUUUCAUUAA
This 383-nucleotide ribosomal RNA is filed under the name uncultured eukaryote. Its description in RNAcentral is "partial 18S ribosomal RNA". It matches the Rfam family "Eukaryotic small subunit ribosomal RNA", at positions 592 to 976 of the family's 1831-position model. The record is from RNAcentral.